This 243-nucleotide ribosomal RNA is filed under the name uncultured bacterium. RNAcentral describes it as "partial 16S ribosomal RNA". It matches the Rfam family "Bacterial small subunit ribosomal RNA", at positions 524 to 765 of the family's 1533-position model. The record is from RNAcentral.
UACGGAGGGUGCGAGCGUUAAUCGGAAUUACUGGGCGUAAAGCGCACGCAGGCGGUUUGUUAAGCUAGAUGUGAAAGCCCCGGGCUCAACCUGGGGAUGGUCAUUUAGAACUGGCAGACUAGAGUCUUGGAGAGGGGAGUGGAAUUCCAGGUGUAGCGGUGAAAUGCGUAGAUAUCUGGAGGAACAUCAGUGGCGAAGGCGACUCCCUGGCCAAAGACUGACGCUCAUGUGCGAAAGUGUGGG